AGUCAAUCUACCCUCGAGUCUGGGACAACCUCGGGAAACUGAGGCUAAUCCCGGAUAGGUGAUGGACGCUGGAAUGCCCCAUCACUUAAAGCUCCGGCGCUCGAGGAUGGGACUGCGGUCUAUCAGGCUGUUGGUGGUGUAACGGACCACCAAACCUACGACGGGUAUGGGCAAUGGGAGUUGGAGCCCAGAGAUGGGGACUGAGACAAGGCCCCAGGCCCUACGGGGCGCAGCAGGCGCGAAAACUCCGCAAUGCGCGAAAGCGUGACGGGGGAACCCCAAGUGCCGUUGGUCUUUGAUCGACGGCUUUUCGGGAGUGUAAGGAGCUCCUGGAAUAAGGGCUGGGUAAGUCGGGUGCCAGCCGCCGCGGUAAUACCCGCAGCCCAAGUGGUGGUCGCGAUUAUUGGGCCUAAAGCACUCGUAGCCGGGCCGGUAAGUCCCUUGUGAAAUCGGGUCGCCUAACGAUUCGGCUUGCAAGGGAUACUGUCGGUCUUGGGACCGAAAUAGGUCGGAGGUACUUCGGGGGUAGCGGUGAAAUGCUGUAAUCCCCGGGGGACCACCAGUGGCGAAGGCGUCCGACCAGGGCGGAUCCGACGGUGAGGGGUGAAGGCUGGGGGAGCGAACGGGAUUAGAUACCCCGGUAG
Molecule: ribosomal RNA, 644 nt
Filed under: uncultured archaeon
Lineage: Archaea
Description: bacterial SSU rRNA
Rfam family: Archaeal small subunit ribosomal RNA
Source: RNAcentral